This 369-nucleotide ribosomal RNA is filed under the name uncultured Desulfobulbus sp. Its description in RNAcentral is "bacterial SSU rRNA". It matches the Rfam family "Bacterial small subunit ribosomal RNA", at positions 1014 to 1382 of the family's 1533-position model. The record is from RNAcentral. Lineage: Bacteria; Pseudomonadati; Thermodesulfobacteriota; Desulfobulbia; Desulfobulbales; Desulfobulbaceae.
CUCCAUCUGGAGAAUCUGGAGACAGGUGCUGCAUGGCUGUCGUCAGCUCGUGUCGUGAGAUGUUGGGUUAAGUCCCGCAACGAGCGCAACCCUUGCCUUUAGUUGCCAGCAGUUCGGCUGGGCACUCUAAAGGGACUGCCGGUGUUAAACCGGAGGAAGGUGGGGAUGACGUCAAGUCCUCAUGGCCUUUAUGACCAGGGCUACACACGUACUACAAUGGCCGAUACAAAGGGCAGCGACACUGCGAGGUGAAGCCAAUCCCGUAAAAUCGGUCUCAGUCCGGAUUGGAGUCUGCAACUCGACUCCAUGAAGUUGGAAUCGCUAGUAAUCGUGAAUCAGAAUGUCACGGUGAAUACGUUCCCGGGCCUU